GUAGGCGAUAGAAAUUUAUGCCUUGGCGCAAUAGAUACAGUACCAUAAGGGAAAGAUGAAAGAACUAAUUUAAGCACUAAAAAGCAAAGAUAAAGGCUUUUACUUCUGCAUAAUGUACUAGCUAGAAAUAACUUGACACAGAGAACCAUAGCCAAGUCCCCCGAAAUCAGAUGAGCUACUCAAGAACAGCUGAAAGAGCGCACCCACCUGUGUGGCAAAAUAGUGGGAAGAUUCAUGAGUAGCGGUGACAAGCCUGCAGAGCCUGGUGAUAGCUGGUUGUCCAAGAUAGAAUCUUAGUUCAACUUUAAACUUACCCACAGAAUUACUUAACCUCCCUGUAAGUCUGUUAGUCUAAAGAGGGACAGCUCUUUAGACCCUAGGGAAUAACUUUUCUGUAGAGAGUAAAAAAUAUUACCCCCAUAGUUGACCCAAAAACAGCCACCAAUUAAGAAAGCGUUCAACCUCAACAUCUAAUUAUCUUAAAUUCUAAUCACUUUACUGAACUCCUAAGAACACCUUGGACUAAUCUGUUAUUUAAUAGAAGCAAUAAUGUUCACAUAAGUAACGUAAACAUAUUCUCCAUUGCAUAAGCUUGUAUCAGACUGGAAUAACCCACUGACAAUUAACAGCCUAAUAUUAAUAAGCGAUAUAAGAAGCGCCCUAUUAUUUAUUCUGUUAAUCCAACACAGGCAUGCUCUAAGGAAAGAUUACAAAAAGUAAAAGGAACUCGGCAAAUCUUACUCGGCCUGUUUACCAAAAAUAUCACCUCUAGCAUUUCCAGUAUUAGAGGUACUGCCUGCCCACUGACAUAUGUUCAACAGCCACGGUAUCCUGACCGUGCAAAGGUAGCAUAAUCACUUGUUCCCUAAAUAGGGACUUUUACGAAUCGCCACACGAGGGUUCAGCUGUCUUUUACUUGUAAUCAGUGAAAUUGACCUAUCCGUGAAGAGGCGGGUAUAAACAAAUAAGAAAAGAAGACCCUAUGGAGCUUCAACUCAUUAAUGCAAAUAGAAAUUCAAAAAGCCUACAGGCCUUAGCAUACUGUCUCUGCAUUAACAUUUUGGUUGGGGUGACCUCGGAGUAUAAUCCAACCUCCAAACAGCCUAGACUAAGACCACACUAGUCUAAGCGAGCUGACACACACUGAUUCAAUAAUUUGAUCGACAGAAGUUACCCUAGGCAUAGUAGCACAAUCCUAUUCUAGAGUCCAUAUAGACAAUAGGGUUUACAACCUCGAUGUUGGAUCAGGCCAUCCUAAUGGGGUAGCCGCUAUUAAGGGUUCAUUUUUUCAACCAUUAAAGUUCUACGUGAUCUGAGUUCAGACCAGAGUAAUCCAGGUCAGUUUCUAUCUAUUUAACAUUUCUCCUAGUA
This 1371-nucleotide ribosomal RNA is filed under the name Nomascus leucogenys (northern white-cheeked gibbon). RNAcentral describes it as "Bacterial large subunit ribosomal RNA". It matches the Rfam family "Bacterial large subunit ribosomal RNA", at positions 461 to 2683 of the family's 2925-position model. The record is from Rfam by way of RNAcentral. Lineage: Eukaryota; Metazoa; Chordata; Mammalia; Primates; Hylobatidae.